Molecule: non-coding RNA, 5705 nt
Organism: Sus scrofa (pig)
Lineage: Eukaryota; Metazoa; Chordata; Mammalia; Artiodactyla; Suidae
Source: RefSeq, a predicted model, not a curated record
CCACCUGCUCUCGGGGGCCGCCUCCCCGGAAGCAGCGCCCCACGCAGUCUCUCCCGGCAGCCAAAUGGGCGACUCCUCUCCUCUGAGCCCGAGCUUCUGAAAGGUGCGUCCUUUCCGUCACCGCCCCAGCCGGCCUUGCGGGCACUGCAGGGCGUCCCUGCAGCCAAGCCAGCCUCCCGGGCUCAGCCCCUCGCCUCCAGCGGGCGCCGCGAACUGCGCAGGCGGGUGCGACCCGCUCGCUCUCCCACCUGCUUGCUCACGUGGCCACCUGGGCGACCCCGCCGCAUCCUGCCCGCCGCCCCCCACCCCCAUCAAGGCACCAUGGUCUGGUGCCUCGGUCACUCCUGCAGCCGGUUACAGACAUUUGAUAUUUUGGUUGCAUUUUCCUAUUAACAGAAAACAAAGUUACUGAAAACUCAGACUUUACAGAAAUGCACAAAUUAGAAUGGAAGGAAUCACCAAAGCCCCACCUCCAGAUAAACUUGUACAGACGCCAAUCUGGUAAAUCGUCAUUGCUUAUUUUGAAAAUAAAUGGUUUUACACUUUGCUGGGACUGUGGUGACAGCACCACAAAAUUGGUGGCUUAAAGUAACAGAAAUUUUUCUCUCAGUUCUGGAGGCCGGAAGUUCUAAGCCAGGGUGUGGUGGGUGUGGCAGCUUUGAGGAAAGAGUCCACCCCCCCACCUGCCGCCAACCCCACCUGCCGGCCCCCUCCCCUGUCUCUCCUCUCCCCUCUCCUCAGAGGAUACUUGUCAGGGCCUGCCUUGUCUGGGGCGACCUCUUCUCAGGCCUUCACUUCAUGCUCUCUGCAAAGACCCUAUUUCCAAACAAGGUUUGGUUCCCAGGCCUGGGGAUUCAGGUUGGACAUUGCCUUUGGGGCCAGCAUUCAGCCCCUGCACACACUGGGCAGAAGGACAGGCACCUUUGCCCACUAGGAAUACAUUUUGGACAGUUUUUGUGCCAAUACCUGUAUUUUCACCAUAUUUCUUUCCUGAACACCCCUCCCCAGUCUGGACGCCCCCUUCGCAUGGGUGGAUGAGGCUGAAUCGACCACUGUGACAGGUGACUGCCGUCAGGGCUCUAGUCUACAAUUCUCCAUGAACCUGGGGGUGCUGCUUCAGAAAGAGCCUAAAAAGUGUGUCCACUGGAUCAAAGGGCACCCGUGUCCACAGAUUCAGCAGUUACUGAGCAGAAAUCCUGCACUCAGCUUCUGGCUCCUCUUUGACUCCAGAGAGAGGCGUUGCCAUUUCCAGGUGGAAGUACCCUUUUUCUCCUGGUUCGGGUGCAACGUGUUCAAGAAAGUCUCGGGUCCUGUUUCUUCUCCCGAUGCCCUGCUGGCUGGGCGGUCUUAGCCCCUCUCCUGGGAGCUCCUGGAUCGUGUGCCGGGCUCCACUGUUGAGACCCAAGGACAGAGUGGGCUCAUCCCACUAGAACGACCGCAAAGAAGAACACUCCUUCCCUGCAUCGGCGGCUUCGUGUCACAGGGGGCUUCAAACGGAAGAGGAGGAGGAGCCCACGCACAUACACGCAGGUGCACCACACGCAUGCACACGCGUGCACACAGACGCCAGACUCUUCCAGCCGGAGCUACAGGACUUUGCGGACCUGGGCACGCAGCCCAUCCCUCUGCCCGUCCCUCUUUCCUCGGCCAGCAAGUCCCUGCAGGGCUGCACCUCUGUGGACGACAGUGGCCACCCAAGCCAGGUCCUAGCUCUGUCCUGCGUCCCAGCCUUCUUAUUUUCAGGCUCAUUGCGCCUUCCAGAAGGAACGUCCAUACGCUCCAGCCCUGACGGAACUCUCAGACAUCCAGCCCUCGUUUGAGCCCCGCUCAGGACAGGUGAGGCCCCCGCCACCAGGCAGCACUCCGGGCCUUCCAGCCUUGCAGCCGCUGCGAGCUGCUUCCUUCGAGAGUUUCUGAGCAGGUGUUGUGAAAAUAAUGAUUAUGUGGUUUGGCAGAUUCGAUCUCUGCAGCUAAUUGUUGACACUGAGUUUGUAUUACCCAAUACUUUGGGGUGGGGGACAAAAUAAUGCUAUUUUCUAGCCAGUAAGCCAGCAACUACGUGUAAAGUCUUCGUCCUCUGGGUGGGGCAUAUGUUUUUCCAAGAAUCAAUUUUAAAAACAGGAUUGGCAGGUGCUGGCCACCUCCAACGAGCUCAAAAUGCAGAUCAAAACAACUGCAGGGCCAGCCUAGUCAGGCACUGACCUGGGCAGCCGUCCCUGAGCUCUGGUGGGGUGUCUAUGUCCGGUGGGCAGUUGAGAUGAAAGAGGGGUCCCCACCCUGCGACAGGCCCCGACCCUCCGACCCGGGACCAGGAGAUGCCCUCCCGGUGACCUGUCUGGGAGCCACCAGCCCCUCUUCUCUGGGCUCCCCUGACUUGCCUGGGGGGGCUUCUCAGAACCCAUGCGUGACCCCCAUCCCAACCCCUGGCAUAGCGGAUGCGUGUCGACUUGGAAGCCCGAGACUCUGGAAUUUGACUGGAGGGGAACUGGCCGAGGCUGGGCGCUGUGCAACCACAGAAACACUGCUGGUCUUUGCUCCUGGAUCUCCGGCGAUUUCUUGGGUGACAAGAGUGUCUGCUGAUAUCGCUGCCCAGCCCUUUCAGGCACACUUGACAGCGUCAGGGAGGGGCCGGUCACCAGAAGGGCCAAGUGGCCAGGGCUGGGAACCCGCUGGGGCGGGAGUGGGGGCUGCAGAUGGGGUUAAGCUCUGGAAUAAUGAUGUCGGGGGGCCCUGGGCUGGUGAACACGAGGGGGCUCGGGCAGGGGACGGCCCUUCCUCCUGGCUGCUCCUGGGCUGUCCUUCGUCAGAAACAAGUCCAUGCGAACACACUUUUCUGUGCAUCGAUCCAGUGAGCUGCUGAACCAGAGCAGGGGCCAGCGGGCGCGCAGGAGUUUCCCAGAGGCAAAGGAGAGCACCGAGUCCCGCCUCCAACUCGCUGCGUGCCCCCCCACGUGUCCCCCGCUCCCACAGGUCCACCAUCCAGAAAACACAGGGAGACAGUUUGCAUCAUCUGAAAGGAAGCGCCAGAGAGCCACGCGCAUACAAAGCACACAUAUUGUCAUAGUGAAAUACACAAAGGCGCACGUGGUUUUAAAACCUCUUCAGCCCAUGUGUCCCCACAGGCCCUGUCCCGAGAGCUUCUCGUGAACACAGACAAGGUCCCUCUCAUGCCCCACCCCCACACCGGGGCUGGGGGCUGAGAUAAGUCGCCCCCAGGGAGACGGUCCAUGACCUGGAGCUGGGACGGCUGAGCCCCGGCGAGGCCAGGCCACCAGCACUGGGCCCUCGGGUCAGCCCGUGCCACACGGAGGCAGGGAAGAGGUGGCGGGGGGACACAGUGGCAGCCGUGGGCCGCUGGCCUCUCCAUUGAGCCGGCUGCAACCUGCCAGCUCAUGACGUGCGGAUUAGCAAAGACGGGAGGCUUUUCAACCUGACCUUGAUUCCAGAGGGAUCGGCACGUGUGCGUGGCCUCCUUUGUCCCCUGUGACGUCACCAUUCUCUGUGCUGACCCAGGGAGGCCACACAGGAUGGGCCAGCCUCCCCGCCAGGGACACUUCCACUUGCCCAGCCCUUGCGUGUGACCCAGAGUUUCCAUCUUUAUUACACUUUUGCUGAAGCUACACGUUCCAGAACCUACUUCCAAUUUGCUGGGCGCCUGAGUCAGGGGCGCCUCCGGGGAAGGCGGGAGUGCCGGGCCCUGCUGGUGCCCCCUCCGCAACCCCGGCCUGCCCCAGGGAAGAGCUCUCAGAAGCUUCAUCCCAGGACAUCGGCCUCCAAGCCUGCUCCCCCGACAGCGACAGCUCUGCGUGUGCCAAGGCGACAGGGGGAGGAUGUGGGCUCGCGUCUGGGGGCGGGGUCAUAACAGACGGAGCAGAAAGCUUUUGCUAGGAAGGGGGUCCUGCAGCCACAGGGCCUCAGAGGUGACCUUCGCCACAGGGCUGACCUGCCAGAACACUGGCCACCAGCCACGGAGCCACAGUGCCCAGCGUGGUUCCGGAAGCUGGGCGUGGGGCAUGAGUCACCUUUCCAGCAAGGGACAUAACGUGAGCAAGUCUUUUAUAUGAAUAAAGAUCACUCAUGAAGGACCAAGGAAUAUUCAAAGGCCGUGUCGUCUCCAAAGAUGAGACCACCCAGCGGGAACGAGCCCAACUGUGGGACACACGGCUUCUGAGACGCGCAGACCUCUGGGCAGUGAGCUGAGCCCUCCUGCCCCCAAAUCCUGUGUUGACACCCUGCCUCCCGUAUGUGGAGGUACUCGGAGGGAGCAGGAGGGACACGUGCCCGGGAAGAGCAUGGAGCCAGGGGUUCCGGUGUGGGGCAUCAGAUCAAGAACCUGACGCAGCCUCCCCGAGGAUGUGGGUUUGAUCCCUGGCCUCGCUCCGCAGGUGAAGGACCUGGCGUUGCACAAGCUGGGGCAAAGGGCGCCCGGCUGGGAUGCGGUGUCGCCGUGGCUGUGGCUGGGCCGGCACCUGUAGCUCCAGUUCCACCCCUAGCCCAGGAACUUCCACAUACUUCAGAUGAGGCUGUAAAAAGAAAAACAGCAACGAAAAAGAGUCCACGCACAGCGGCUCUUUCUGCGGAGGCAUCAGCUAAAGUAUCCCGCGCCAGUCAGAGUCCAUCCCCGGCGUGGGAACGUCCUUUUGCAGUGGAUGCAGCCCUUUAAAGAGAGAGAGAGAGAGAGGAAGAGGAUGGAGCGAGCUCAGGUGCAAGGGCCUGCAAGGGCCUGCACAGCACCACAUGGAACACAAGCGCAGGCUGCCGGUUUCACACCCAUGAGGCUUAAGGAGGCUGAUUUAUGGGUGAGAGGUCAGGAAGAGGGCGGCCUUGGGGGUACAGACCAGCAAGGAGCCUUCCAGGCUGCAGGCGGUGUCCCCGAUCUGCCUGGAGAGGUGGGCGCGUGAGUUGAUGCACACAGGUGAGCAUCCAGCUCAGACUCGCGCACUUGCUGUGAGAUGAACCGAACAACAUCUGGAAGGACCCCAGGCAGUGGGGUCUGAGCUGCCGCCGUGAACUUGAGGGACGCUGCCCUCCGCAGCCCCACUCCUUGAUGAGACAGCACCUUGUCUGAGCGGGGCCGCAACCGUGCACCCCAGUCCUCACGCGGCUGCUUCCUGCACCUCCAGGGUGCACCUCCCGCCGCGGCCACGUGUUGCCUUGGGUUCUGUUGUUUGAGAUUCGGGGGACAGAUUUCAGUGCUGCCUUUAUUCACCUCAGUUCUUUUAAAACUGUGCCUUUUCAUCGUGAUAAAGGACCCUUGAGACUUAGCCUCUUCGGCAUCUUCUAGGGCACAGCUCAGCGGUAUGCAGCCCACCCGCGUGACCGCGGAACGCUCCGUCCUGCCAAAGGGAAACCCUCUCCCGGUUCCGCGGCCGCGCUUCUCCUCCCCGAGCCCUGGCGCCUCCGUCUAAUUUUUGUCCAUGAAUCGCCCUGCUCUCGGGACCUCCUCACACCGCAUUUGUCCCUUUCGGGCUGCUUAUUUCACUCGGCGCCGCGCCCUGGAGAUUCACGGCACGUGCUGCUUCUCCACUGACGCGUUGGUGGACACUUGGGCUGCUUCCACGCUCUAGUUACAGGGAACAAAGCUCCUAUGACCACGCGUGUAAAAAUAUCUCUUUGAGACCCUACUUUCAAUAUUUUGGGUGUACGCCCAGAAGUGGAAUUGCUGGAUCGUAUGGUAAUUCUAUUUUUAACCCUGAGUCAUUUCC